GCCAGUGUGGCACAGUGUUUUGAGCAUUGGACUGUGACUCUGGAGACCAGGGUUCGAUUCCCAUCUCAGCCA
This 72-nucleotide transfer RNA is filed under the name Phrynosoma platyrhinos (Desert horned lizard). RNAcentral's name for it is "tRNA-OTHER". Lineage: Eukaryota; Metazoa; Chordata; Lepidosauria; Squamata; Phrynosomatidae. The record is from RNAcentral.